UAACUCCUACGGGGGGCAGCAGUGGGGAAUAUUGCACAAUGGGGGAAACCCUGAUGCAGCAACGCCGCGUGAGUGAAGAAGGUUUUCGGAUUGUAAAGCUCUGUUAGCAGGGAAGAGGAAGGACGGUACCUGCAGAGGAAGCCACGGCUAACUACGUGCCAGCAGCCGCGGUAAUACGUAGGGGGCAAGCGUUAUCCGGAUUUACUGGGUGUAAAGGGAGCGUAGACGGUUAUGUAAGUCUGGAGUGAAAGCCCGGGGCCCAACCCCGGGACUGCUUUGGAAACUGUGUAACUGGA
This 296-nucleotide ribosomal RNA is filed under the name uncultured bacterium. RNAcentral's name for it is "partial 16S ribosomal RNA". It matches the Rfam family "Bacterial small subunit ribosomal RNA", at positions 333 to 645 of the family's 1533-position model. The record is from RNAcentral.